This 27-nucleotide non-coding RNA is filed under the name Rattus norvegicus (Norway rat). Lineage: Eukaryota; Metazoa; Chordata; Mammalia; Rodentia; Muridae. The record is from RNAcentral.
UGUCAUGUGUGCCUUUACUUGUAUGUG